CCUACGGGAGGCAGCAGUGGGGAAUCUUGCGCAAUGGGCGAAAGCCUGACGCAGCCAUGCCGCGUGAAUGAUGAAGGUCUUAGGAUUGUAAAAUUCUUUCACCGGGGACGAUAAUGACGGUACCCGGAGAAGAAGCCCCGGCUAACUUCGUGCCAGCAGCCGCGGUAAUACGAAGGGGGCUAGCGUUGCUCGGAAUUACUGGGCGUAAAGGGAGCGUAGGCGGAUAGUUUAGUCAGAGGUGAAAGCCCAGGGCUCAACCUUGGAAUUGCCUUUGAUACUGGCUAUCUUGAGUGUGGGAGAGGUAUGUGGAACUCCGAGUGUAGAGGUGAAAUUCGUAGAUAUUCGGAAGAACACCAGUGGCGAAGGCGACAUACUGGCCCAUUACUGACGCUGAGGCUCGAAAGCGUGGGGAGCAAACAGGAUUAGAUACCCUGGUAGUCCACGCUGUAAACGAUGAGUGCUAGUUGUCGGCAUGCAUGCAUGUCGGUGACGCAGCUAACGCAUUAAGCACUCCGCCUGGGGAGUACGGUCGCAAGAUUAAAACUUCAAAGGAAUUGACGG
Molecule: ribosomal RNA, 561 nt
Filed under: uncultured bacterium
Lineage: Bacteria
Description: bacterial SSU rRNA
Rfam family: Bacterial small subunit ribosomal RNA
Source: RNAcentral